GACCCUGGCUCAGGAUGAACGCUAGCUACAGGCUUAACACAUGCAAGUCGAGGGGCAGCAUGAACUUAGCUUGCUAAGUUUGAUGGCGACCGGCGCACGGGUGAGUAACACGUAUCCAACCUUCCGUUUACUCAGGGAUAGCCUUUCGAAAAAAAGAUUAAUACCUGAUAGUAUGGUGAGAUUGCAUGAUAGCACCAUUAAAGAUUUAUUGGUAAACGAUGGGGAUGCGUUCCAUUAGGUAGUAGGG
This 247-nucleotide ribosomal RNA is filed under the name uncultured bacterium. Its description in RNAcentral is "partial 16S ribosomal RNA". It matches the Rfam family "Bacterial small subunit ribosomal RNA", at positions 15 to 253 of the family's 1533-position model. The record is from RNAcentral.